Molecule: ribosomal RNA, 773 nt
Filed under: uncultured Neocallimastigales
Lineage: Eukaryota; Fungi; Neocallimastigomycota; Neocallimastigomycetes; Neocallimastigales
Description: partial large subunit ribosomal RNA
Rfam family: Eukaryotic large subunit ribosomal RNA
Source: RNAcentral
UACACGCUGUGACUAGCAUAUCAAUAAGCGGAGGAAAAGAAACUAACAAGGAUUCCCCUAGUAACGGCGAGUGAAGCGGGAAGAGCUCAAAUUUGAAAUCUUAAAGGGUUUCCCUUUACGAAUUGUAGUUUAAAGAAGUGUUUUCUGUUGAGGUUUUGGUAAAAGUUCUUUGGAAUAGGACAUCAUAGAGGGUGAGAAUCCCGUAUUUGACCUUUACUUUCAACUUUGUGAUACACUUUCAAAGAGUCGGAUUGUUUGGGAAUGCAGUCCAAAAUGGGUGGUAAAUUUCAUCUAAAGCUAAAUAUCGGCGAGAGACCGAUAGCGAACAAGUACCGUGAGGGAAAGAUGAAAAGAACUUUGAAAAGAGAGUUAAACAGUACGUGAAAUUGUCAAAAGGGAAGCGUUUGACACCAGUGUUGUUUUUCUGAAAAUCAAUUAAAGAACUGUUUAUGCUAAGCUGUUUAGACUUUAUCAGCUAACUGUUUAGUUUUGAGCUUUUCUUUAAUGCACUUUUCAGUUAACAAGUCAACAUCAAUUUCUUUUGCUGUAAAAAAGCUUGAGGAAGGUGGCUUGAGAUUCGUCUUAAGUGUUUAUAGCCUCUUGCCUAUGCAGUCGGAGAGAUUGAGGUCUGCAGCGUAGAUCCUUCGGGGCUAAAUGCAUUUGUGCUAAGUUAUAGCAUUUUAUAGACAACUUGUUGACUAUGAUUUGUCUUGUAGCUUACUCGCUUAUGUUAUUUUACCUACGCUUAGGAUGUUGAUAUGCAUGACUGAUAU